GAAAUGCGAUAAGUAAUGUGAAUUGCAGAAUUCAGUGAAUCAUCGAAUCUUUGAACGCAUCUUGCGCUCCUUGGUAUUCCUUGGAGCAUGCCUGUUUGAGUAUCAUGAAAUCUUCAAAGUAAAUCUUUUGUUAACUCAAUUGGUUUCUACUUUGGUAUUGGAGGUCUUUGCAGCUUCACACCUGCUCCUCUUUGUUCAUUAGCUGGAUCUCAGUGUUAUGCUUGGUUCCACUCGGCGUGAUAAGUUAUCUAUCGCUGAGGACACUGUAAAAGGUGGCCAAGGUAAAUGCAGAUGAACCGCUUCUAAUAGUCCAUUGACUUGGACAAUACUUUUAUGAUCUGAUCUCAAGUCAGGUAGGACUACCCGCUGAACUUAAGC
This 378-nucleotide unclassified non-coding RNA is filed under the name plant metagenome. RNAcentral's name for it is "partial contains 5.8S ribosomal RNA, internal transcribed spacer 2, and large subunit ribosomal RNA". The stretch from base 1 to 105 matches the Rfam family "5.8S ribosomal RNA", at positions 50 to 154 of the family's 154-position model. The record is from RNAcentral.